UACAGAGGGUGCAAGCGUUAAUCGGAUUUACUGGGCGUAAAGCGUGCGUAGGCGGUUCGUUAAGUCGGAUGUGAAAGCCCUGGGCUCAACCUAGGAAUUGCAUUCGAUACUGAUGGACUAGAGAUCGGUAGAGGGCGGCGGAAUUCCGGGUGUAGCAGUGAAAUGCGUAGAUAUCCGGAGGAACACUGAUGGCGAAGGCGACACGCUGGGCCGUACCUGACGCUAAAGCGCGACAGCAUGGGGAGCAAACGGG
RNAcentral lists this ribosomal RNA (253 nucleotides) under uncultured prokaryote. RNAcentral's name for it is "partial 16S ribosomal RNA". It matches the Rfam family "Bacterial small subunit ribosomal RNA", at positions 524 to 776 of the family's 1533-position model. The record is from RNAcentral.